CCUUAGCUCAAUCGGUCAGAGCGGGAGACUCAUAAUCUCUAGGUUGCAGGUUCAAGUCCUGCAGGGUCC
RNAcentral lists this transfer RNA (69 nucleotides) under bovine gut metagenome. It matches the Rfam family "tRNA". From Rfam's summary of the family: Transfer RNA (tRNA) molecules are approximately 80 nucleotides in length. Their secondary structure includes four short double-helical elements and three loops (D, anti-codon, and T loops). The record is from RNAcentral.